GACACCACAGCCAAUAUAAAACCAGUCAAAUUAGCACUGUACAUGAUGAUCCCAAUAUUAUUUCUAAAGCCUUAUUCUGGAAUUUAAUUCUCAUCUGAAUUUUCCAAGAACAGAAACUUCAACACCCAAAAAGGUUUCCUUUAAUAAUGAUCCCAAUAUUAUUUCUGAAGCCUUAUUCUGGAAUUUAAUUCUCAUCUGAAUUUUCCAAGAACAGAAACUUCAACACCCAAAAAGGUUUCCUUUAAUAUACUCAACAAGAUUACACUAUUAAAGAAAGGCUAAAAUAGCAAGGAAAAAAAGGGUUUCUUGAGUAAAUUGCUGAAAAGGAGUUUGAAAUACUUAAACUUGUACGUUUAAGGAAAUGGGUAUGUGAGGAAAUUGGAGAAAAGGGGGUUUGAGCUAACAGUCUAAGCUCGUUAUGGUUAGUUAUUAAGGAGAAAGAAGACAAUUUAUACGUUUGUUUUUGCUUCUCGUGUAAGGAUGGAGAAGAUUUAAGGGAGGAGAGUGAAUUGUGGUUCCAUCCAAGAAGCAAAAUCUUGUCAUGUUUUGAUUCGUUGAGUUUUGGGUUGAUU
RNAcentral lists this long non-coding RNA (572 nucleotides) under Nicotiana benthamiana. Its description in RNAcentral is "long non-coding RNA (NBEN_LNC016178)". The record is from RNAcentral. Lineage: Eukaryota; Viridiplantae; Streptophyta; Magnoliopsida; Solanales; Solanaceae.